Molecule: long non-coding RNA, 1134 nt
Filed under: Piliocolobus tephrosceles (Ugandan red Colobus)
Lineage: Eukaryota; Metazoa; Chordata; Mammalia; Primates; Cercopithecidae
Description: lncRNA (ENSPTEG00000003526.1)
Source: RNAcentral
AAAAAAAAAAGAGAAAAGUGAAGGGUAUUUGAAAUGUGAUUAAGUAAAAAAAAAAAAAUUACACAUCUUUACCCACUUGCAUAUACAUAUAUAUAAGUAAAUAACUCGAACUAUACUAAGUUUUACUUUUUACAAUAAAGUUAAUAUUUACGUGUAUACUUCAUAUUUAAAUAUUGAAUAAUUUCAACAUUUUUUUUAUUCUUUUUAAUUGUACCACUAGUAAAAAUGUAUAUAUAUAUAUAUAUUAAACCUUAUUGUAAAUAAGUCUAUUAUUGAACGUACCUCGGUUCUUUUAUAUUUUUUUAUGUAAUGGGUAUUUUAAAAUAAAAAUAAAAAAAAAAUUAAUUUGUUAUUAUUGUUUUACUCACUUUUAACUUUUUUCCAUAUGUUCUUUUUUUUUAUUUAUCUUUAAAAAUGAAUAAAAUAGUAAAAUUAAAAAAUUAUAUUCCUAAUAACCAUUUUUUUAAAGACAUGCUACUUUCAAACAUGGGUGAGCGAAAGCAGAUGACACAUUUUUGCGAGAAAAGCAAAAAUUAUAUUCAUUUGAGUUAUAAUAGACUUGGUAUAUAUAAUUUAAAUAACACCAAAACGCAUAAUGUAGUAGAUAAUUGUUGCUUAUCUUUAUUUUUAAAUAAUCAUAUAUUAAUUGACAAUAAAAAAAAGCUAACUGAACAUGUUAGUACAGAAAAAAGUUAUAAAAGUAUAUUUCGUUUUUGGAAUAGAAGUCCCGGAGCAAGAUACCCCAAAAAAGCAAAUAAUGGAGCACGGCCAGACUGUCGUUCUGUACGAAAAAUUAGAAAACGACUUAAAACAGGGAAAUAAACAAAUAUAAGGAAUGAGGUAAAAAUUAUAUCAAGUUAUGUGAAAAUCACAAUCAUGAACAUAUUAAAAAAAAAAAAGAAAAAAAUUACUUUUGUUAAAAACAGUCAUUUGUUUUUAUAAAAAAUAUAGUACAUAUAUAUAUAUAUAUAUUUAUGUAUAUAUGUAAGCUGUUGAUAACCUCCAUAUAUAUUGCUGUAUGAACAGUUUACAUUUUUAAUUUGCAUAUAUCAAUACACUGAAAAAAAGUGAUUAAAACGUUGAAAAUAACUCGUUCAUAAUAAAAUAAUUUUUUUUUAAGUUAAAAAAAAAAGU